Small nuclear RNA from Megalops cyprinoides (Indo-Pacific tarpon), 160 nucleotides. RefSeq annotates it as U1 spliceosomal RNA. Lineage: Eukaryota; Metazoa; Chordata; Actinopteri; Elopiformes; Megalopidae. The record is from RefSeq and is a predicted model, not a curated record. The transcript has a single exon.
AGCAUUACCUGGCCGGGAAGAUGCUGUGGUCUUGAAUGUGGCUCACUCAGGUUGAGGCUCGGUCACUGCACUGUGGCUUUGCUGGCCCCUGCCAAUUCCCUUGAUGCGGCACUCAGCUGCAUCAUUUCUGCUAGCGGGGGUCUUCAUUUGUACCUCCCCC